GGCUCUUUGCUAAAUAUUAUUUAUAGAAUAAAGAGUCUGACCUGCCCAGUGAUGAAUAUUAAACGGCCGCAGUACCCUGACUGUGCAAAGGUAGCAUAAUCAUUCGCCUUUUAAUUGGAGGCUAGUAUGAAUGGUUUGACGUAGAUUAAGCUGUCUCUUUGAAAAUUAUUAGAAAUUAACUUUUAAGUGAAAAGGCUUAAAUAAAUUUAUGGGACGAGAAGACCCCUUUGAGCUUUAGUAAAUAUUUUUAUUAAUUAUUAUCAAAUUUGAAUAAUUUUAAUUAGAAUGAAUUUUUAGUCGGGGAAAACAGAGGAAUAAAAAAAGCUUCCUUUAUAAAAAUAAGUGUAAGUUGACAAAUAAAUAAGGUGAUCCACAUAUUGUGAUUAAAGGAUAAAGUUACCAUGGGGAUAACAGCGUGAUAUCUUCUGGAGAGUUCUUAUUGAAAGAGGGGUUUGCGACCUCGAUGUUGGACUAGGACAUCCUAAAGGUGCAGCAGUCUUUAAGGGUUGGUCUGUUCGACCAUUAAAGUCCUACA
Molecule: ribosomal RNA, 535 nt
Filed under: Pyropelta sp. SWA-2010
Lineage: Eukaryota; Metazoa; Mollusca; Gastropoda; Lepetellida; Pyropeltidae
Description: partial 16S ribosomal RNA
Rfam family: Bacterial large subunit ribosomal RNA
Source: RNAcentral